This 770-nucleotide ribosomal RNA is filed under the name uncultured bacterium. RNAcentral describes it as "bacterial SSU rRNA". It matches the Rfam family "Bacterial small subunit ribosomal RNA", at positions 71 to 825 of the family's 1533-position model. The record is from RNAcentral.
GAUGGGAGCUUGCUCCCUGAAGUCAGCGGCGGACGGGUGAGUAACACGUGGGCAACCUGCCUGUAAGACUGGGAUAACUCCGGGAAACCGGGGCUAAUACCGGAUAACUCUUUCCCUCACAUGAGGGAAAGCUGAAAGAUGGUUUCGGCUAUCACUUACAGAUGGGCCCGCGGCGCAUUAGCUAGUUGGUGAGGUAACGGCUCACCAAGGCCACGAUGCGUAGCCGACCUGAGAGGGUGAUCGGCCACACUGGGACUGAGACACGGCCCAGACUCCUACGGGAGGCAGCAGUAGGGAAUCUUCCGCAAUGGACGAAAGUCUGACGGAGCAACGCCGCGUGAGUGAUGAAGGUUUUCGGAUCGUAAAACUCUGUUGUCAGGGAAGAACAAGUACCGGAGUAACUGCCGGUACCUUGACGGUACCUGACCAGAAAGCCACGGCUAACUACGUGCCAGCAGCCGCGGUAAUACGUAUGUGGCAAGCGUUGUCCGGAAUUAUUGGGCGUAAAGCGCGCGCAGGCGGUUCCUUAAGUCUGAUGUGAAAGCCCCCGGCUCAACCGGGGAGGGUCAUUGGAAACUGGGGAACUUGAGUGCAGAAGAGAAGAGUGGAAUUCCACGUGUAGCGGUGAAAUGCGUAGAGAUGUGGAGGAACACCAGUGGCGAACGCGACUUUCUGGUCUGUAACUGACGCUGAGGCGCGAAAGCGUGAGGAGCGAACAGGAUUAGAUACCCUGGUUAGUCCACGCCUUAAACGAUGAGUGCUAAGUGUUA